CAUGUUGAUCAGGUGCCCGCACUAAGCUUGACAUCAGCAUGGAUCUGCUAGAGGAAUCUAGUAGGUGCAGGUUAGCUAAGGAGGAGCGUAGUGGGUCAGGAGGGAAACCUAGCAGCCAAAAGUUCCCGUGUUCGGCAGUAGUGGGAUCGUGCCAGUGAGUG
Molecule: signal recognition particle RNA, 161 nt
Filed under: Daphnia pulex (common water flea)
Lineage: Eukaryota; Metazoa; Arthropoda; Branchiopoda; Diplostraca; Daphniidae
Description: Metazoan signal recognition particle RNA
Rfam family: Metazoan signal recognition particle RNA
About the family: The signal recognition particle (SRP) is a universally conserved ribonucleoprotein. It is involved in the co-translational targeting of proteins to membranes.
Source: Rfam by way of RNAcentral